UACAGAGGGUGCAAGCGUUAAUCGGAUUUACUGGGCGUAAAGCGUGCGUAGGCGGCCAGACAAGUCGGAUGUGAAAUCCCCGAGCUUAACUUGGGAACUGCAUCCGAAACUAUCUGGCUAGAGUGUGGUAGAGGGCGGUGGAAUUCCCGGUGUAGCGGUGAAAUGCGUAGAUAUCGGGAGGAACAUCAAUGGCGAAGGCAGCUGCCUGGGCCAACACUGACGCUGAGGUACGAAAGCGUGGGGAGCAAACAGGAUUAGAAACCCCCGUAGUCC
RNAcentral lists this ribosomal RNA (273 nucleotides) under uncultured bacterium. Its description in RNAcentral is "partial 16S ribosomal RNA". It matches the Rfam family "Bacterial small subunit ribosomal RNA", at positions 524 to 796 of the family's 1533-position model. The record is from RNAcentral.